This is a long non-coding RNA of Homo sapiens (human), 257 nucleotides long. RefSeq lists it as uncharacterized. The record is from RefSeq and is a predicted model, not a curated record. Lineage: Eukaryota; Metazoa; Chordata; Mammalia; Primates; Hominidae. The transcript is spliced from 2 exons.
AGCUUGAGUGUAGUCAUCAAAAGACUGCAGCCACAUGAGUGAUCUCAGGAAGAACCAGCAGAAGAACUUCCCACACUGCUAAGGCACAAUGUUUGGACCAGCCCAGGAUCCCUCACUCACAAGAACUUCUAUCGGACUUAGCUUAUCCCUCAGAAGACCCUGGACACCACCAAAGGUCAUCAGCACAAUCUUGAUGGAUGUCUAAGAAUUGAAGAUUGAUUUUUGCCUAAUGACAAUAAAGUCAUCACUAAGUUAAA